This is a non-coding RNA of Meleagris gallopavo (turkey), 2300 nucleotides long. The record is from RefSeq and is a predicted model, not a curated record. NCBI's taxonomy places the organism in Eukaryota, Metazoa, Chordata, Aves, Galliformes, Phasianidae.
GAGAUAGAAAUAAUAGUAAUGAUAAUUAUAAAUAUAUGCAUAUAUAUUUACAAAACAAAUUAUGCACAAUGCAAUAGCUCACCACCUACUGACUAGCCAGUCUCCAAGCAGUGGCUGCCCUCCUUGACCAACUCCCCCCUCAGUUUUAUAGUUUUUUCCACAUGAUGUCAUAUGAUAUGUUCAGUUUGUUCAGUUUAGGUCAGCUUUCCUGGUUCUGUCCUCUCCGAGCUCCCUGAGCCCCCAGACCCCCUAACUGGCAAGACAGCAUAAAGACCUGAGAAAUUAGAAUGUUCUUGGUUCUGUAUAGCACUGCUCAGCAAAACUAAAACAUUGGUGUGUUAUCAACACUGUUUUUCCCCUAAAGCCUAAACUUAGCAUCACACCAGAUGCUGUGAAGAAUAUCAACUCUGUCCCAGCCGAAACCAGACCACCUAUAUUUAAUAAUCAUGGCCUUGUGUUUUUCUGAAUUUAGGUACAUUUUGGGUGGAGUUUUCUUUUGUUUUCUUUUUUCCUUUCCUUUCCACUUUUGUUUGAAGGAUUCUCCUUAUGAGAAAUUGAAUAUCUUAAAACGUUCAAAACGUUUACCAAAAGGAGAAAUCAAUAUUUGGCAAAGUUAGAUGUGAGAAGACCACACAUUUUCUCAGAAAUUUAUACCUAAAAGAGCUCCAUUCUGAGAAAGACACAUUUCUAAGUAUUUCAGUCUGAAAGUACCCUCUUCAGAAAAGCUCUCUUGAUUGAACACCAUCUUCUACUCAACUUAUCAAGACUCUCAGCUUCAUUGAGAGACUCUCACUUGCACUCUCUAUCCUUCCACUGUGCUCUCAGUCAUACCCAGGCCAUCUGUGAGGAAGUGUCACAGCUGUCCCUCAGACCUGUGUUGUCUCUGCUGUGUUCGUGCUGCCCAGCCUGUGGGGUCCUUGCACUCGUUCUUCCCCAGCUCCUGCCUUACCAAUGAAUGGGCUGAUUCAAUGAAGGGGCUUGGAGCAUAUGAAUACAUUGCCUCCAGGAUCCGAACUCUGUCAGUCCAAGGUCAGAGAAGGCCACCUCAGCACCCAUCUCUCUCACAGGGCUGCUCCAGCAAAUCCUAUGCUCAGAGCACUGCUAGAGGCUAAUAGUCCAACAUCACCAUCAGAAGCUUGCCAGCAGUUUCCAGGAGCAUCACAGGAUGCCCAGAGAUACCCAACAGCAAAGGCUGUGGUUUCUUUCUCUUGUUUGUAUCCCUCCCCCUCUUGUACUAAGAAGCUGGUGGGGGUGCAUGCACAGACAGUCACACAUGACACAGUAAUUCAGAGAAUAUGCCAAAUAAAGCAACCACUUUGGUUGAGUGAUGUUCAAACCAAGACAAAGAGCAUCAUCAGGGACAGAGGACAGGGAGAGUUCAAAUAUCUUAGUGUACUUGAAUGAUUAUCCAGGUAACAUUUCUAGCUGCUUGACAAAUUUUGAUUCUUUUUUAUAAGUAGGACUUAUGUUUGAAUCAUGCAAACGCAAGAGGAAAUCUCAGAUCAUUAACUUCUACUUUUAUUUCUCUUACAUCAAUGACUGACAGCCCCAAGAUGGAGGUUUACUUUUUUUCUGCUUUUCCCUGCAGAAUCUUCCUUUGCAUCCUGAGCUUCAAAUCUUGCAUUACUGUGCCAUCUCUGAACCAUGGGCUUCCUCAAACUUCCUUUGCAUCAGGUAAGGUGUUCAGCGUGUCAGAUGGGUUAAGAUCAACUUCAUUUUUCAGUGGCUCAAAUCCACUUGUGGGAGGUCAGAAGUGAUGCAUCGAACAGAGCACAUCUGUGAUCCAGAAGUCAGAUCUGUCUGCACCCCCCACGUUUAAGCAGGAAGAGCAGUGGAACAGUCAUGCAAUGGUGUGAGUGCCUGGGCAGAUGUUAAGAUCUCUGGCCAGCCCCUGUGCUGCAGCCUGCAUGGACGCUCCUGAACUUUGCUCUCCUGCUGGUUCUGGCUCGUGGACUGAGAUGGAAUAGAUAAAGUGCUGGAUUCACUUUGCUCUGACGCAGCUGGGAGCUGUACUUUACUGAUAAUGACUGCCCAUCUCCAUUCCACUCACAGGCUGCAUUAAGAUCUUUUGCCUUCUUUUGAGGGGCAAGGUUUAUUGCAAAAUCUCCAAUUACUUUAAAAUGACAAGCUUCAAGAGAUGCAUUGCAGACUGACUUUUUUAGGUCUCCAGCAAAUGUUAUCAGUAACACAUAAUGCAGUGGAUGAAAAAUCCACAGUGGUGCAGAUAUGAACAGCAGCUGCACAUAUUUAACGAAUGUAGACCACAUUUACAGCAUCAAACAUACCAGUAUUAAACAUGG